ACUUAACUUAUGGACGGAAUUACCCCCGGGAAAUUGAGUAUAUGGUCCAAAAAACCUUUAUGCCGGGAUUGUUUUUUGUUCCAAAUGAUUUACCCCCGAAGGAGGGGACGGCGCCCAAUUUUUUUGUGGGGGAGGUAAUGCCCCACAAAAAUAAUUACGGGUGCGGCUUCUAAAAGAACUACCCCGAAGAUGGUUACUGAAACACGAACCCCGCCCCUAGGGGGCCAAGCAGGCAAAAAAUUUUUGCAUUGUGCAAAAGCCCAACAAGGUUAUUCCAAUUGUUUCCUGCUAAAGAAACUUUUUGUCGUUCCAAAAACCACCAAUAAAUAAGGGGGGGGCAAUUUUUGGUGCCACCCCCCGCGUAAAAACCACCCCCUCAGGUGGUCAGGAUAAUUACGGGGCCUAAACCAUCCGUAGCCGGUUCUGUAAUUUUUCGGUUAAUUCUGUACCCUCAACUUACAGGCCGCCGGAAUUCCUGAAAAGUUAGGGAGGGGAAAAGGUAAACGGUCCUCGGAAGGAAGGGUAAAAUUCUUUUGAUCUAUUGAUAACCACUGGUGGCGAAGGCGUCCUACAAAACCCCUUCCAACGGUGAGGAAUAAAAGCUGGGGAACCAAACCGAAUUAAAUCCCCGGUUAGCCCCAGUUGUAAACUAUGCAAACUCAUUGAUGCAUUGGUUUGUGCCCAAUGCAUUGCUGC
RNAcentral lists this ribosomal RNA (696 nucleotides) under uncultured archaeon. Its description in RNAcentral is "partial 16S ribosomal RNA". It matches the Rfam family "Archaeal small subunit ribosomal RNA", at positions 107 to 804 of the family's 1478-position model. The record is from RNAcentral.